Molecule: ribosomal RNA, 255 nt
Filed under: uncultured bacterium
Lineage: Bacteria
Description: partial 16S ribosomal RNA
Rfam family: Bacterial small subunit ribosomal RNA
Source: RNAcentral
UACGUAGGGUGCAAGCGUUAAUCGGAAUUACUGGGCGUAAAGCGUGCGCAGGCGGUUUUGUAAGUCUGUCGUGAAAUCCCCCGGGCUCAACCUGGGAAUUGCGAUGGAGACUGCAAGGCUAGAAUCUGGCAGAGGGGGGGUAGAAUUCCACGUGUAGCAGUGAAAUGCGUAGAGAUGUGGAGGAACACCGAUGGCGAAGGCAGCCCCCUGGGUCAAGAUUGACGCUCAUGCACGAAAGCGUGGGGAGCAAACAGG